Molecule: long non-coding RNA, 1424 nt
Filed under: Helianthus annuus (common sunflower)
Lineage: Eukaryota; Viridiplantae; Streptophyta; Magnoliopsida; Asterales; Asteraceae
Source: RNAcentral
GUCCCGGUUUUCCACACCUACAUCUACCGGUAUUCUUCUUCUACGCAGGUAAAUCCAAGGGCUUUAGGGUUUCCUUUUUGGUUCUUUUUGAGGCAGUGAUGGCUUCGUCGACGAAGACGAACUCCGGCAGUCGGACUCUGGCCGUCACGGUGAUUUGGAUUCGGUCUGAGACAAACCCCGGCAGAUUAGUGUCGUCUAGGGCCAGUGAACGGCGGCGAUUCAGUUGUUAAUUUGACCGGUUCUGACGAGUAGGUGAGGGUUUUGCCCAGAAUCCUGUCAUUACCUAACUCAGAAACGACGAGUAAGAUGAAAUCGGACAAGAUUUGAACAAUGCUGAUUAAGAUGGGUUAUGUUGCUGACCGACGGUGACGAAGAAGUUGCCGGAAAUGAAGAAGCCUAAUCGAGUAAUCGAAAGCCACACCUCCGGCAUUUAAAACCUAAUGGACAACCAUAGGGGAAGAAGAAGCAAGGGAAUGCUGCUAGAUACAUCUCUAGAUCGCAAGCUGUCAAGUAUCUUCACGUCAGUUUAUCCGUUUUCAGGUUACCCACCAGGCCACCACCACCGACGCUCUUCCAUCUGCUGAUUGGCAUCACCAUCACCAUCACCACAGAUCGUCUUCCAUCUGCUGCUGCUGCUGAUCAUCGGGUAGCUCCAGAGUAGGUUACGCAUCACCGCCACAACGGAACCCCUUUCAUCUGCUGCUGAUCAUCGUUGAUUGAGACCAUCGCCACUACCGACCUCUUCCGUUUAAUUCUUAGAGAUAGAGAAGUAGAGAGAGGGGGUAGAGUGAAGGGAAGCCGGAAGAGGAGUCGGCCAUGGCCUUCGACCAUCUUCCUCCUGAUUCCAGUGAUAGAAAUAGUAGCUUAUGACCAUGGUGUCGGUUGUAUGUGUUAUGGUGAUAGCGACGAUUCCGGCUAAAUGAGGUAACAAUGGUGGUGGUUGUGGUUCAAGGUGAUGACGAUGGGUAAGUGUACGGUGAUGAAGACGGUGGCUUGAGGUUGUAAAGGUGACAGCAGCGGUGUUGAUAAAGAACAGGGGUGAUGAACUGAUGAUGGUGGUUUCAGCAAAGGGUUGUCGUGCUUUUGAUGGCGGUGAACAGUAACGGCGGUGGUGAUUUAUGAUGGUUGCAGCCGGUGUCGGGUGGUAUUACAUGUACCAGCUUCAUCUUCAUAUGUUGAUUUGUAGAGUAAGUGACAGAUUGUGUGCUUUUAUUUUUAGGGUUUUUUUUUACCAAAUAAUGUUGGGAUGAGUUUUUGAUUUGUGGUUUUUUUUAUCUUCAAAUACGAAGAUAAUGAGGGUGAUUUUGGAUUUGCAGAAAAGUAUAAGAUUGUAGGGUGAUUUUAGAUUUGCAAAAGAUAAUGGUUUGUGAUAUGAGGUUCAUUCAUGAUGAUGAUGAUCUGUAUCAAAAGUAGUGAAAAUCUUG